UGGGAGGAAGCAAUUAUGCGUCUUAUUUACAAUAAGAAGAAUGGGUUAUACCCCCUCUCUA
This 61-nucleotide transfer RNA is filed under the name Gyge ovalis. Its description in RNAcentral is "tRNA-Val". Lineage: Eukaryota; Metazoa; Arthropoda; Malacostraca; Isopoda; Bopyridae. The record is from RNAcentral.